AAUAGAUACCCGGGUAGUCCACGCCGUAAACGAUGGAUACUAGCUGUUUGAGCGCAAGUUUGAGUGGCUAAGCGAAAGUGAUAAGUAUCCCACCUGGGGAGUACGGGCGCAAGCCUGAAACUCAAAGGAAUUGACGGGGGCCCGCACAAGCGGUGGAGCAUGUAGUUUAAUUCGAUGAUACGCGAGGAACCUUACCAGGGCUUAAAUGUAGAUUGACGUAUUUGGAAACAGAUAUUUCUUCGGACAAUUUACAAGGUGCUGCAUGGUUGUCGUCAGCUCGUGCCGUGAGGUGUCAGGUUAAGUCCUAUAACGAGCGCAACCCCUGUUGUUAGUUGCCAGCGAGUAAUGUCGGGAACUCUAGCAAGACUGCCAGUGUAAACUGUGAGGAAGGUGGGGAUGACGUCAAAUCAUCACGGCCCUUACGUCCUGGGCCACACACGUGCUACAAUGGCCGGUACAGAGAGCAGCCACUUAGCGAUAAGGAGCGAAUCUAUAAAGCCGGUCACAGUUCGGAUCGGAGUCUGCAACG
RNAcentral lists this ribosomal RNA (529 nucleotides) under uncultured bacterium. RNAcentral describes it as "bacterial SSU rRNA". It matches the Rfam family "Bacterial small subunit ribosomal RNA", at positions 777 to 1312 of the family's 1533-position model. The record is from RNAcentral.